Molecule: ribosomal RNA, 500 nt
Filed under: uncultured Glomeromycotina
Lineage: Eukaryota; Fungi; Glomeromycota
Description: partial small subunit ribosomal RNA
Rfam family: Eukaryotic small subunit ribosomal RNA
Source: RNAcentral
CCAAUAGCGUAUAUUAAAGUUGUUGCAGUUAAAAAGCUCGUAGUUGAAUUUCGGGGUCAGUAGGUUGGUCGUGCCACCGGUACGUACUGGUCUCACUGAUUCCUCCUUCCUGAUGAGCUGUAAUGCCAUUAAUUUGGUGUUGCAGGGAAUCUGGACUGUUACUUUGAAAAAAUUAGAGUGUUUAAAGCAGGCUAACGCUUGAAUACAUUAGCAUGGAAUAAUGAAAUAGGACGUUCGAUCCUAUUUUGUUGGUUUCUAGGAUUGACGUAAUGAUUAAUAGGGAGAGUUGGGGGCAUUAGUAUUCAAUUGUCAGAGAUGAAAUUCUUGGAUUUAUUGAAGACUAACUACUGCGAAAGCAUUUGCCAAGGAUGUUUUCAUUAAUCAAGAACGAAAGUUAGGAGAUCGAAGACGAUCAGAUACCGUCGUAGUCUUAACCAUAAACUAUGCCGACUAGGGAUCGGAUGAUGUUAAUUUUUUAGUGACUCAUUCGGCGCCUUACG